AUUGAACGCUGGCGGCAUGCUUUACACAUGCAAGUCGAACGGCAGCGCGGGCUUCGGCCUGGCGGCGAGUGGCGAACGGGUGAGUAAUGCAUCGGAACGUGCCCAGUAGUGGGGGAUAGCCCGGCGAAAGCCGGAUUAAUACCGCAUACGACCUGAGGGUGAAAGCGGGGGACCGAAAGGCCUCGCGCUAUUGGAGCGGCCGAUGUCGGAUUAGCUAGUUGGUGGGGUAAAGGCUUACCAAGGCGACGAUCCGUAGCUGGUCUGAGAGGACGACCAGCCACACUGGGACUGAGACACGGCCCAGACUCCUACGGGAGGCAGCAGUGGGGAAUUUUGGACAAUGGGGGCAACCCUGAUCCAGCCAUGCCGCGUGCGGGAAGAAGGCCUGCGGGUUGUAAACCGCUUUUGUUCGGGAAGAAAUCCUCUGGGCUAAUACCCCGGGGGAUGACGGUACCGGAAGAAUAAGCACCGGCUAACUACGUG
RNAcentral lists this ribosomal RNA (483 nucleotides) under uncultured bacterium. RNAcentral's name for it is "partial 16S ribosomal RNA". It matches the Rfam family "Bacterial small subunit ribosomal RNA", at positions 28 to 507 of the family's 1533-position model. The record is from RNAcentral.